RNAcentral lists this long non-coding RNA (393 nucleotides) under Nicotiana benthamiana. Its description in RNAcentral is "long non-coding RNA (NBEN_LNC014158)". Lineage: Eukaryota; Viridiplantae; Streptophyta; Magnoliopsida; Solanales; Solanaceae. The record is from RNAcentral.
AAAAGGUUAUUUAGAUCUGAAAAGUUCUUCCCUUAGAUCAGAUCAUUAGCUUCUCAAAAACCAACAAAAAAUAUAACACAAAACUCCAAAACACAGUCCAUCGAAAUUUUUAGGUUAAUUUCGAGUUUAGUGGUUGAUUUGCAACUUCUAACUUAUGGUCUGAUUGCUGAGGUUUUCUGAAGUUUCCUGUGUUAAUUUUGAGUGUGUUUGGGUUCAAUCAAGGUUGUUCUGGGUAUUUUAUUGGUGUUGUACCUCUGUCACUCGUUCCUGGGUUUUGAUAACAUUAUUUUGGGUUUUUAACUGUCCUCUUGCUGUUGUGACCUGCCGUUUGACACUGCUAUCUACUCAAUCUACUGUUGACUCCUCUUUCUUCUUAUUGUGUUUCAAUUUCCA